This 70-nucleotide transfer RNA is filed under the name Myxococcales bacterium. RNAcentral's name for it is "tRNA-Cys". It matches the Rfam family "tRNA". From Rfam's summary of the family: Transfer RNA (tRNA) molecules are approximately 80 nucleotides in length. Their secondary structure includes four short double-helical elements and three loops (D, anti-codon, and T loops). Lineage: Bacteria; Pseudomonadati; Myxococcota; Myxococcia; Myxococcales. The record is from RNAcentral.
GCUCCUCGCACCUGGACGGUGACGUGGCCUGCAAAGCCAGACGUUUCGGGUUCGAUUCCCGGCAGGAGCA